Molecule: unclassified non-coding RNA, 278 nt
Filed under: uncultured Anabaena sp.
Lineage: Bacteria; Bacillati; Cyanobacteriota; Cyanophyceae; Nostocales; Nostocaceae
Description: partial 16S-23S ribosomal RNA intergenic spacer
Source: RNAcentral
UAGGGAGACCUAAUCCAUUUAGAAAUCGAAAACAAUGAAAAUUGUCAAUAGAAACUAAAUUGGUCUAACCUAGGUCGUUCGAGAUUGGUAGACAUCUUUCAAAGUAUUAUUCGGCUUCGUUCAAAACCAUAUAUAAUAAAUGGAAAAAGACAGCACCUAAUUGUCAAAGUUAGACUGCUGGAUGAAAUUCCAGCCAGAACCUCGAAAACUGCAUAAGAGAACAAGAAAAAGCAGGCAGACACAGACAUUUCGAUGGAUGUGAAAGCAAAAGAAAUUGU